AUGGUCCUAACAUCCUGAACGUGCCAGAUCUUGUCUGAUUUCAGACACCAAGCAGGGUCAGGCCUGGUUAGUACUUGGAUGGGAGAAAAAGCAAGAUAACUAUC
RNAcentral lists this ribosomal RNA (104 nucleotides) under Octodon degus (degu). The record is from RNAcentral. Lineage: Eukaryota; Metazoa; Chordata; Mammalia; Rodentia; Octodontidae.